RNAcentral lists this long non-coding RNA (2115 nucleotides) under Homo sapiens (human). RNAcentral's name for it is "HSALNT0380227". Lineage: Eukaryota; Metazoa; Chordata; Mammalia; Primates; Hominidae. The record is from RNAcentral.
UUUUAAUAUGCUGCAUAGACAAAUUCUGCAAAGGAAAAAUGGAAAGGGUGCCCAGGAGACAGGCAGCCACGUACCUGUGAUGCGUGUCAUGCACCUCUGCAUGGCAUCCAAUCGCGCCCCCUUCUCUGGCAGGACAGGAAGGAGCCUUUGCUUCGGGGCUGCGCAUCUAAAAUUGCCAGAGUAGGACAGCACAUAUUUGCAGGCUAACACAAGCAUUUCUGAAAGGAAAUGCAUUUGGAAACUGAGUGGUAUUGAAGCAUCUAUUUUUCUUGCUAGCAGCACAAUCUGCCACCAGGAAGGUUUUAAACACUUUCCUGACAGAGAGUGCCUGCCUGAAUUUUUUGGUAAUUAAUCAUGCAUAAUACUUUAAAUUCCACACAGGCGGCUGGCUGAAAACCCUCCAGGGAUUGCUGCAUUUGCUAUCCGAAAGUCAACUCCUAUGCCUUCGGAGAGUGAGGAAGAUCAGAGAGGGGCAUUUUUGCCUGUUUUAAUGUCGCCAUCAGUCACCAGGCAAGUCUGCAAUCUUUGCUGCAUCCUUCCAUGGUAUCGGCACAAGCAAGGCUGUAGGUAUCUAAUACAUAUUUAAGAGUAUGGGAUGUAAUAAAAUCGGGUAAUUCCUUGCCUUGGCUGGCACCACAGUAUUCUCAAAUAGGAAGACUGGGUGCUAGGAUCUGUCUGCUGUGCUUGUGUGGGCUCACUUGAAGAGUCAGAUCACAUCCCUCUCUUGUUUGGCCAGCUCUGUUAGAACCAUGGUGGUGGGUAAUUAAAUGAUACACCAGCGCCUCUCACCUGACAGCUUAAGAGAACGUUCACAUAUAUUUACAUAUAUAUUUCAGAUACACAUAUAUUUCACAGUUGUAAACCAAAAGGUAUGUGAGACAGGUCUCAAUCGAUUUAGAAAGUUUAUGUUGUCAAGGUUAAGGAUGCACCUGUGAUGCAGCCUCAGAAGGUCCCAACAUGUGCCCGAGGUGGUCCAGGCACAGCUUGGUUUUAUACAUUUUAGGGAGACAAGAGAUAAACACUGGUUCCUUCGGUCUGCAAAGAGUCUCACCCUGUUACCCAGACUGGAGUGAACUGGCACAAUCUCGGCUCACUGUCACCUCCACCUCCCAGGUUCAAGACAUUCUCCUGCCUCAGCCUCCUGAGUAGCUGGGAUUACAGAGGAGGAAAAUGAGCUGCAGAAGGAUCAAAUGACCUGCCUGAGGUGCCCUAUCUGUUGGCACAGGCCAGAGCACAUGGUGGAUGCAGGGGCACCCCCUUCCCUUCUCCUCCCCUCCGGCUCUUUGCUGACAGGAUUCUCUCUUGCCUUCUCUGAUGGUACCUGUGCUACGUGCCACAUCCUUUCCCUCAAUGAAUUUCAGGCAGUGGAAGGGGCCGCAGAAGUUCCUUGACUCAUGAGGCGAGGCAUUCAGCGGCCUCGUGACACCUCCCAGGAUCUGCAGUCAUUGGGCUGCACUUGCCAAUAGCAACACCUGGCAAAAAUAGCUAAGAAGCAGAGCGGCCUGGGCUCAGGAGCUGAGCAACCCCUGACUGGCCAGAUGGAGACUGUGUUGAGCUCUGCCCAAGCCCUGUGAUCCUGGAAAACAGUGAAGUUAAGGAGCCAUCUGCAUUCUAGGGAAUGGCCCACUGCAAAAAAUAGCCUUCCUUAUAGGACGUAGAGGACUCAUGAUGUCCCCUCAUUUAUGAUGAGCCAACACACAGCCCUUCCAAAUUCCGAUUCUUUGCUUCAUAACUGAUGAGCUGUUUUGUUCCCACUGGUCAAUCGGAACAACAUUCUUGCUAACCAGAUUUUGGUUCAGCUCUUCUCCCUCCCCAUGUACCUGCCCUGUGUCCUGUCCUCAUCCUGAGCCAGCACACACCCCUCCUUAGUAGCUCCUCCUGCAGCAGGCUGACCUCGGACUCUCCCUGAUCCAUUGUCCAAAUAUAUCACCCUUUCACCCUACAUCCUCACACCCCAUUCUUUCUAGUUUUGUUCAUUCCUCCCUGUGAAAGAUGAACCCUCUUUGCCUAACCCCGGACCUGCUUGCAGACUGCUAUGAUGGCCAGAGUGUCCCCCCUACUGCAAGAGUCCCUUCUGUCCCUUGCAACAUCUUUUAAAUAAAAUCUCUCUUUACC